This 356-nucleotide ribosomal RNA is filed under the name uncultured Pelotomaculum sp. RNAcentral's name for it is "bacterial SSU rRNA". It matches the Rfam family "Bacterial small subunit ribosomal RNA", at positions 1026 to 1382 of the family's 1533-position model. Lineage: Bacteria; Bacillati; Bacillota; Clostridia; Eubacteriales; Desulfotomaculaceae. The record is from RNAcentral.
ACAGGGAGACAGGUGGUGCAUGGUUGUCGUCAGCUCGUGUCGUGAGAUGUUGGGUUAAGUCCCGCAACGAGCGCAACCCCUACGUUAGUUGCUAACGCGUGAAGGCGAGCACUCUAGACGAACUGCCGUUGACAAAACGGAGGAAGGUGGGGAUGACGUCAAAUCAUCAUGCCCCUUAUGUUCUGGGCUACACACGUGCUACAAUGGCCGGUACAGACGGACGCAAAGCCGCGAGGUGGAGCAAAUCCUAAAAAGCCGGUCUCAGUUCGGAUUGCAGGCUGCAAUUCGCCUGCAUGAAGUCGGAAUCGCUAGUAAUCGCAGGUCAGCAUACUGCGGUGAAUACGUUCCCGGGCCUU